UGAGAGAAGGGAGAGAAGUGGGGGUGAAUCGAGCUGCGAGGCGAAAACCUAGCGCCAGCAAUCCCGUGCGUCUUCGAGGAGCCAAUCCAGCCCCGCUUCCCUCCCUCUCCACGGCGCUGCCGGCUCCUCCCCUUUUUCCCUACUCUCCACUGCACCGCCUCUUCCUCCUCUUCACUAUCCUCUCCAGCAGCGGCAAAGAUCUGCCGACAAAGGGAGAUGACAGCGGCGCUCAAUCGGAUCUGCUGAAGAGAAAGAUGAGAGGGAGAGAGACAAGGAAGGAGAGGAGGGAGAAAGAGAGAGCUAAGAAGAGAGGGAGGUGUGAUGGCGGAUGAGAGAAGGUCACCGGAAGGAGCGCGAUGACCUGCAGAUAAAGGGCGGCAGCGGCGCCGCUCGAUUUGAUCUGCGGGAGAGAGAAGAUGAGAGGGAGGAAGAGAAGGAAGAACAUGAGAGGAGGGAGAAAGAGAGAGGAAAGAUGAGAGGGGGUCGACGGCCAAUGGGAGAGGAUCACUGCAAGUGCUGCCGGCUCGUCGUCUUUCACACCGCACUAUAGCAGAGCUACCUUUGUACAACCCACACGCACGCAGUUGCCGGCUGCAGGGGUGUUGCGAGGAGUUAGAGGCCGUGCACCGGCCGGAGCAGCAAGAGCAAUGAUCCGGCGGCCUCUCUUCUCUGCCACUGCUCCCUUCUCUUCCUUCAGCUCUCGAGACGUCAACCUGCAGGUGCUAGAGUUUGUCUGUGGGUUGUUUAUGCCCGGCUUUAAUAUCGGCCCACACUAUUUAUAAGGAACUGUUGAUGUCCAGUUCAGAGGUAUGUUUUCUAGCUGAAGCAUUGUUUGAAUAUCUAUGGCCCAUGCUCCAAGUGAGAUUAAUUCUUUCAUUUAUUUUCUACUAAUGUGAGUGAUUUAGUUCUCACGUACUGAUAAAUGUGCAUGGCAUACUAUUUUUAGGCAAACCAUUGUUUAACAAUGGAUAUGCGGAGGGGUUUUUAUGCAUGUGCAUUUCCCCUGAAUCUAGACAGCUAUUCAACCUAUUGCGGACAUUUUUGGUGGAAUUCAAUGCUUCCUCAUGUAUUUUUGACCUCUAUAUUCCCUAUCAUGUGUAUUUAACAAGUGAAUGUUCAGUGAUUCUCGAUUUUGCCUUUUUAAUCUAUGAAUGCAAUCCUUAAUGUGAUGGAAAUGUAUUGUACAUUUUUUGUCGAGCAAAUAUUGAUUCAUGCCAUGCAUGUUAUCGGUGGGUUUAAAAAAAGUUUUCCUGAUUGUAGUGUGAUUGCUUUAUCAAAGUUGGUUUAGUUACCCAACCUUCUAUUUUCAUUGAUUUUGUAUGAUUCUUGAAAACGGAGUGUGGGUUGUGUUUAUCAAUAAUAUACUACAGAUGUCAGUUCUGUUGCCAAAUGAUCUAAACUUGAUUUACCCACUUAUAGAACAGAAAAGAGUAUGGUAUUUACCUUCCGUGGAUUUACUUGAAUGACUGUACAAGUAUCUCGGCUUGGUUUAUUUCCCAUCUCCAAUUUGAUUAAUAAUUACUAAGAUAUUUUUUCUUACUCCUUAUUUACUGACAUGUUUGAUUUGUAGUCUCCUCGUAUAUAAUCAAGUAGUGGUAGCUAAACAAACGUAUAUCUUGCCAUGCAUUGGUGAAAGUAUUAAAGCUUGUCUCUGGUUUACUUUCCAUGUGCUAUCCAUACCCAUGUUUUAUGUAGUUAAUUAAUAAACUCUCUCUAAAUAUGAUGAUCACAUGAGAUCAGACAGGUUCAUGGGGUGAUCGUGUAGCCGAGUUGAAAGUCAGAGGGUUUGUGCUAUGGGUCAUAGGAAUGGUCAUAACCUUAUUUGUUGGAAUAUUGCCUAAGAUGAUCAAAGCUAAUUAUUUUAGUCACUUGAUCUGUUAUAUUGCCAUAAACUGAAUUGGUACUAGGCGAACAUGAGGAUCUUUUAGCAGGUAGCCAUGUCAAAAACAAGAUAUAUGUCUAACAUAUAAUUUGAGAUGAAGUUGUCCUGCUCAAUUAAUUUAUAGUUUUCUGGAUGUUCUGGUUUUCAGUUUGGG
This is a long non-coding RNA of Triticum dicoccoides, 2036 nucleotides long. RefSeq lists it as uncharacterized. The record is from RefSeq and is a predicted model, not a curated record. NCBI's taxonomy places the organism in Eukaryota, Viridiplantae, Streptophyta, Magnoliopsida, Poales, Poaceae. The transcript has 3 exons.